This 75-nucleotide transfer RNA is filed under the name Bacillota bacterium. RNAcentral's name for it is "tRNA-Asn". It matches the Rfam family "tRNA". Rfam says of the family: Transfer RNA (tRNA) molecules are approximately 80 nucleotides in length. Their secondary structure includes four short double-helical elements and three loops (D, anti-codon, and T loops). Lineage: Bacteria; Bacillati; Bacillota. The record is from RNAcentral.
UCCAAGGUAGCUCAACGGUGGAGCACUCGGCUGUUAACCGAUAGGCUGCGGGUUCGAAUCCCGCCCUUGGAGCCA